Molecule: long non-coding RNA, 841 nt
Filed under: Homo sapiens (human)
Lineage: Eukaryota; Metazoa; Chordata; Mammalia; Primates; Hominidae
Description: MIAT neighbor
Source: RNAcentral
CUUCUCCUGCGGGCUAAGGGUGUGGGCGACAGCUCGCACAUUCAAAUAAGGGAGCGAUUACACGGCGCUUGCUUCUGAAGACGGAUUUCCUGAGACUUUUAUGCGAGUGUGAGGGCCAGCAGGUGCACAUUUGAAGCUCAGUGGGAAGUGUUUUCCAAGCAACAGGAGACAGCAGAUGCAGAUGGGGUCCAAUUACUGCUGCUCACGGCUGAUCACGCCAUGCACUUGUGUGCGGAUACCUGGCUCCUGGUCUCAGGCACCUAGUAUGGGGCUAUGCACACGGGAACGCUCAUGGAUUCCUGAGAAGUUGGCUGGAACUAAGGGAGCAUUCAGAGACCACAGAUCCAGUUGACUGGUCCCUGCUGACAUCCAGUCCACGUUGUUGGCCACAUCAGCUCCUCUUCAAACUCAUGAUGCAAAUCAACAGCUAAACAUGUUGAUAUUUUUUGUUUCUCUCAGCUAAGUGGAUCCCUGAGUCCUCCUGGUGCAGUGGAAAGAUUUGAGUUUUGCAGCCAAAUAGAGUGAGGUUUAAAUGGUGGCUAAGCGGCUCACGCCUAUAAUCCCAGCACUUUGGGAGGCAUAGGCGGGUGGAUCAUCUGAGGUCAGGAGUUCUAGAGCAGCCUGGACAACAUGGUGAAAUCCCGUCUCUACUAAAAAUACAAAAAUUAGCCGGACGUGGUAAUCCCAGCUACCUGGGAGGCUGAGACAGGAGUAUUGCUUGAACCCGGGAGGCAGAGGUUGCAGUGAGCCAAGAUCGUGCCACUGCACCCCAGCCUGGGUGACAGAGUGAGAUUCCAUCUCAAUAAAUAAGUAAAUAAAUAAAUACAUAAAUGGUGGCUAA